GAUGAAGAACGCAGCGAAAUGCGAUAAGUAGUGUGAAUUGCAGAAUUCAGUGAAUCAUCGAAUCUUUGAACGCACAUUGCGCCCCUUGGUAUUCCAUGGGGCAUGCCUGUUCGAGCGUCAUUUGUACCUUCAAGCUUUGCUUGGUGUUGGGUGUUUGUCUCGCCUCCGCGUGUAGACUCGCCUCAAAACAAUUGGCAGCCGGCGUAUUGAUUUCGGAGCGCAGUACAUCUCGCGCUUUGCACUCACAACGACGACGUCCAAAAGUACAUUUUUACACUCUUGACCUCAAAUCAGGUAGGACUACCCGCUGAACUUAAGCAUAUCAAUAAGCGGAGGA
This 337-nucleotide unclassified non-coding RNA is filed under the name soil metagenome. RNAcentral describes it as "partial contains 5.8S ribosomal RNA, internal transcribed spacer 2, and large subunit ribosomal RNA". The stretch from base 1 to 120 matches the Rfam family "5.8S ribosomal RNA", at positions 35 to 154 of the family's 154-position model. The record is from RNAcentral.